RNAcentral lists this ribosomal RNA (253 nucleotides) under uncultured bacterium. Its description in RNAcentral is "partial 16S ribosomal RNA". It matches the Rfam family "Bacterial small subunit ribosomal RNA", at positions 524 to 776 of the family's 1533-position model. The record is from RNAcentral.
UACGAAGGGGGCUAGCGUUGCUCGGAAUUACUGGGCGUAAAGGGCGCGUAGGCGGAUAGUUUAGUCAGAGGUGAAAGCCCAGGGCUCAACCUUGGAGUUGCCUUUGAUACUGGCUAUCUUGAGUUCGGAAGAGGUAAGUGGAAUGCCGAGUGUAGAGGUGAAAUUCGUAGAUAUUCGGCGGAACACCAGUGGCGAAGGCGACUUACUGGUCCGAUACUGACGCUGAGGCGCGAAAGCGUGGGGAGCAAACAGG